RNAcentral lists this long non-coding RNA (1663 nucleotides) under Marmota monax (woodchuck). The record is from RNAcentral. Lineage: Eukaryota; Metazoa; Chordata; Mammalia; Rodentia; Sciuridae.
UCAGCCCUUUUUUAUAUUUUUAUUUAGAAACAAGGUCUGGCUGAGUUGCUUAGGGCCUCCUUAAAUUGCUGAGGCUGCCUUUGAACUCUUAAUCCUUCUGCCUCAGCCUCCUUAGCUACUGGGAUUACAGGUAUGUGCCACCAUGCCCUCCUACUUACCUAUUUUGAAGCCAUGAUUUUUCAUCUUACCAUGAGGGGUUUGGCUUACAUAACUUUCUAACUUCAAUAUACUGGUCAAUAUGGCAAAGUCUCUAAGCUCCAUUCCCUCAAAUCUCUGCAACUUUCCUAAAAUCUUCUUCAACCACAAGCAAGUUUUAUGUCUGGCAUCCUGCAAGAUCUUGAACUCCACCUUGACUUGCUCCAUGUAGAUGCAGAAUAGCUCUGAAGAAAUGUUCAGAGAAAAAGAUGUUUGGGGGCAAUCAUUUCCAAAUCCAAGGACACGAUAUCUAGAAAUGUUUUUUCGUACUGGUGGGUACAGAGAGAAAUUUCAGAUUUGUCUCCAAGAGAUAUCCUUUUGAGAAAUUGAUAGUUCCAUAGCCCUUGACACAAUUUGACCAUUUUAACUUGGUAAAAGAGAUAUUUUUCAACUGGGGAAAUAAAAUCCUCCAGACUAGCUUCAUUUAAGGACAGGCAGUCAUAACAGCCUAAUCACCUCCUGCAUCUCUGUGGCUUGUAGCCUCUACAAAACCCUUUGUCAGACAUGAUGUAAUUUCAACCCCACAACAGCCAUGUAAGAUAGGAUGGGCAGUUGUGAACAUCCCCACUGCCCAAAGAAGGAAGCUGAUCUCCAGAGAGAUUAUGUAACUCACCUAGGUCACAAAGCUUCUUAGGUUAUGUGCUACUCUGGGGAUGCCAGGCUUAUGGGCAAUAUGGUGUACCCACACGCCUCCCAACACUAAGCCUAAGCAGUAGCAAUUUUGCCUUAUCUGGUAGUCUCCUUGGAAACUGGCAAAAUAUUUAGUAUCUCCACCAGAUAAAAUUAAGCCAAGAAGUUUUCAAAGAAGGGGAUAUGAGAACAGCUUCUUAAGCAGGCUGAUGGGUGAAAGCAAGGGUUAAGGAGAGGGAAGACCACCCCGAUUCUUUAUCAAGAGGUUCCAUUGUAAUUCUUAUCGAUAAACACUUUUAAAGGGGCUGUUACACUAUCGACAUUCCAAUAUGCAUGAAAGUCAUUUAUAAAGGGUUGCACUCAACUCAAAAGUAACAGUCCUUUAGAAUAGUUUAUGGAGAAAUUUAUCUGCUUACAAAGGAAAAACACAGCAUGUAAGCAUUUUAUUGAUUAAAUGAAAUGCUGCAAGAAUAGAUUUCAGGUUCAUGAAUCAGGAGAAAGAUUCUUCUUGGCAUGCUUGUAAUUUUGCUUAGUCAGUUCUGCAGCUAGAAGAUAAUAGCAUAUAACUUUCUCUUUCUGAUGUUCCCUGCUUGGAUUCAGAAAGAAAGGAUCCUCUAUGGCUUCUCCCUCACUCACUCUUGGAGGCAGCCUGUUCACCUAGGGAUGUGUACUGGGAGGGCUCUGACUGAGGGAUCUUGGGAUGUGAGCUAGGGUCACCUCUGAUAAACACACAGGGAUGUUAGUUCUUAAACCUUCCAGAUGCUGCACUAGAUGAUCCAGAGGGCUUACAGCUGGGGUAUAAGAAAUGUCCUUUCCUUCUCCCAGAAAGCAGUUGCUG